Molecule: ribosomal RNA, 1312 nt
Filed under: Hemicharilaus monomorphus
Lineage: Eukaryota; Metazoa; Arthropoda; Insecta; Orthoptera; Charilaidae
Description: large subunit ribosomal RNA
Rfam family: Archaeal large subunit ribosomal RNA (bases 868-1238)
Source: RNAcentral
UCUUAUUUUAUUAUGUUUUAUUUUUGAUUUGUUUAUUUUUAAUAGAAGUAACUUUAUCUUAUUUUUGUCUUAGUAUUUUUUAUAGAAUUGAUUACUUUAAUUAUAGUUUAUUAGUAACGUUAGUGAAUUAUUGAUAUAUUUUUUAAGUGAGAGAAAGUAUUUUUUAUUUAUAGUACCUUUUGUAUCAGGGUUGAUCAAAAUUUUAGUAUUUAUUUACUAAUCUCGAUUUGAGUUGAUUUAUCCAAGCAUUAAGGUUAAUGUUGUAUAUUUAUCUUUCAUGUUUGGCUGGAAAUGAUAUGUUAGUCGUUUCUCAAGAUAUCUAGUUUCUUAAGAAAAAAUUUAAUUUUUGAUGAUUACUGUCUAAUUUUAAUUUUUUAAUUUUAGUUAGUUUUUUGUUUAUUCUUUAGGGGAUAAGCUCUGAAGUUAAUUAUCCUACAAUUUUGUUUUUAGAAUAUAAAAGUAGGCUUUGAACCAGCUAUCUUUUAGAUUGCGUUUUAGUUCAUUAUUCCUUUUCUUGAUUUUUUAACUAUUUUAGGUUUAAUAUUAAGAUGAUAUAUUUAAUUUUAUAUUUUAUGAAAUAAUGAUUAAAUUAGUAUAGUUUUUUGUUUAUAGAUUUAUUGUUGGUUAAUUUAUUUAAAGGAAUUAGGCAAUAUAAAUUCUCGCCUGUUUAUCAAAAACAUGUCCUUUUGAUUAAAAUUUAAGGUCUGACCUGCUCACUGAUAGUUUAAAGAGCCGCAGUAUUUUGACUGUGCAAAGGUAGCAUAAUCAUUAGUCUCUUAAUUGGAGGCUGGAAUGAAUGGUUUGACGAGGAAUUGACUGUCUCUAAAUAAGAUCUAUAAUUUAACCUUUAAGUUAAAAGGCUUAAAUUUUUCUUUAGGACGAGAAGACCCUAUAGAGCUUGAUAUUUUAGUUUGAUGUAUUUUUCUGUUUGUUUUUGUUUAUUUAGUUUAAAGUAUUUUGUUGGGGUGACAUGAAGAAUAGUUAAACUCUUCAUUAUUAAAUCAUUGAUUUAUGUUAGUUUGAUCCAUAAUUUAUGAUCAAAAGAUUAAGUUACCUUAGGGAUAACAGCGUAAUUGAUUUUGAGAGCUCAAAUCGACAAAUCAGAUUGCGACCUCGAUGUUGGAUUAAGAAAAAUACUAGGUGCAGUAGUUUAGUAAUUAGGUCUGUUCGACCUUUAAAUUCUUACAUGAUCUGAGUUCAGACCGGCGUGAGCCAGGUCGGUUUCUAUCCUAAGAAAAUUAAUUUACAUUAGUACGAAAGGACCGUGUAGGUGAAAUAUUUUUAUUAUUAUGAUUAAUAUUAAUUUUGGUUA